This is a long non-coding RNA of Peromyscus eremicus (cactus mouse), 367 nucleotides long. RefSeq lists it as uncharacterized. The transcript has 3 exons. NCBI's taxonomy places the organism in Eukaryota, Metazoa, Chordata, Mammalia, Rodentia, Cricetidae. The record is from RefSeq and is a predicted model, not a curated record.
CCCGCCCCCUCCCCCGGAGCGCCCGCUGCUGAAAGACACUUCCGGCUCAAGGGAAAACAAAUUCUGCAAGGACCAACUAACUAGUCCAGGUGCGGUAUGAAUAGCUGCUUUUGCUGUCAUGAGGGAAGACUGAGAAAGAGCGAGAGAUGCUACAGGAAUCAAUUUGCAUGCUGAGCCAGAUUGCCUCCAGAGAAGAGAACUCUGAGCCACCCCAUUCUAAGAGACGUCUGAGCCACCCCCAAUCUGAGAGAAGUCUGAGCCACCCUCAUUCAAAGUCUUAAUACUCUCUAGCUUUCUGAAUAAGGCAUCAAGGCGAGUGUCAGAAAUAACUCCUGAACCAGCCUGGACCAGACAAUGGGAAGCUUGG